RNAcentral lists this ribosomal RNA (468 nucleotides) under uncultured bacterium. Its description in RNAcentral is "partial 16S ribosomal RNA". It matches the Rfam family "Bacterial small subunit ribosomal RNA", at positions 28 to 507 of the family's 1533-position model. The record is from RNAcentral.
GACGAACGCUGGCGGCGUGCUUAACACAUGCAAGUCGAACGGAAAGGCCCUGCUUUUGUGUGGUGCUCGAUUGGCGAACGGGUGAGUAACACGUGAGUAACCUGCCCCUGACUUUGGGAUAACUUCAGGAAACUGGGGCUAAUACCGCAUAGGAGCUCCUGCUGCACGGUGGGGGUUGGAAAGUUUCGGCGGUGGGGGAUGGACUCGCGGGUUAUCAGCUUGUUAGUCGGGUAGUGGCUUACCAAGGUUUCGACGGCUAGCCGGCCUGAGAGGGUGACCGGCCACAUGGGGACUGAGAUACGGCGCAGACGCCUACGGGAGGCAGCAGUGGGGAAUAUUGCAGAAUGGGCGGAAGCCUGAUGCAGCAACGCUGCGUGCGUGAUGACGUCCUACGGGUUGUAAACCGCUUUCGCCUGUGACGAAGCGUGAGUGACGGUAAUGGGUAAAGAAGCACCGGCUAACUACGUG